This 15088-nucleotide long non-coding RNA is filed under the name Gossypium barbadense (sea-island cotton). RNAcentral describes it as "long non-coding RNA (GBAR_LNC017403)". The record is from RNAcentral. Lineage: Eukaryota; Viridiplantae; Streptophyta; Magnoliopsida; Malvales; Malvaceae.
GGCGCCGUAUUGCAAUCACAAUAAAGACUAAAAAUUUGCUUUAUUUUCUGCUGCUUCAUUCCCUGCAGAGGACGCAAGAAAAAAAUAAAAAGGGAAAUCCCCUUUCUCUGCUAGGGUUCCAGGCUUAGCCUUGGAACCCCGCCGCCGUCCCUCCUUCCCACUUCUCCGAUCGCGCCGCCGUAAUAGUUGACGGGCAGAGGCGAAAGACGGGCUUUUAAUCUCGCUUUUAAGUGUGGUGAAUGACACCAGUGAGGGGGAGCCUAAAGAGAAAAAGGAGAAGUCUAACCCCCUUUAGCCCGACCCCGACGACGACGAAAGGAUCUCCGUCGAUGGAGCCACGCGGCGGUUUCAGGUACUUCUUUUUCCUUUUCUUUUUAUUCUAUUUUGUUUGUUAAAACUGAUUUGUAAAAAAAAAUAAAUAAUAAAAAACAAAAAUAAAAGGAAAACAGAAAAAAAACACCACAAAGGCAAUUAGAUUUCAACCUUUUCAAAUCUCUGUUCUAUUUUUGAUUUUUUCUGAUGAGCGUUCGUAAAAAAAAUACAACGAUUAGAUUCGGGCUUUUAUAGCCGAAUUAAAAAAAAACACUUUCUUCUUCUUUACUGUCUGUUAACUGUGCCCUUUUUUUUGCCAUUGUAUUUAAUUUUUGCAGGCGUCAGACGCGUGGACGACCGGUGGUUGGCGAGCCUUGGGCGGUGGCAGCGUGCGAGGAGGUAGAACGGCGCGCAUUGCUGGAGCCUGGCAUGCGGCGCUGGGGCUUAGGGUUUGCUUCCUUCUGCCAAAACUGUUAAAGUCAUUUGGGCCAUGUUUUUUAUUUUGGGCCCGUUGGGUGUAUUUAAUUUUUGCUUUGGGCCACUAUUGUAAUAGACUGUCUUAUUUUGGAUUUUAGGUUUCUAUUUUGGGCCUGGGCAAAAAUGGGCUCUUACAGCUGCCCCUCUUUGCUCAUUUUCGUGUAACGAGAAUAGAGCAAAGACUAAGAAAGGCCAAUUUUGCCCGGUCUCGCCGAGUCUUGACUUCUUGGUGCCUUUCUUCUUCAAGUAGCCUCAUUCCAGUCCAUUGCGUCUUACUUCUUUGAUCCACUUCACGGCAUCUUUAGAGAGAUAUGACUUCAAUCUACGCUGCUGCAACUCUAUGGGGAUGAGAUUUGUGGGUUUUUUUUAAAAAUUCGCUCCACUGCAAUUUCAGGGAGAUAGGAUUGAUUUCUUCUGUUUGCUCCACUACUGCUUAGGGAGAUAAGACUUGAUGCGAUCUGCUCCACUAUUGCUUAGGGAGAUAAGAUCUGGUUUCUUUUGUCUGCUCUGCUACUACUUAGGGAGAUAAGACUUGAUGUGAUCUGCUCCAUUACUGCUUAGGGAGAUAAGAUUUGUGGUUUUGUCUGCUCCGCUACUGCUUAGGGAGAUAAGACUUGUUGCGAUCUGCUCCACUAUUGCUUAGGGAGAUAAGAUCUGGUUUCUUUUGUCUGCUCCGCUACUACUUAGGGAGAUAAGACUUGAUGUGAUCUGCUCCAUUACUGCUUAGGGAGAUAAGAUCUGUGGUUUUGUCUGCUCCGUUACUGCUUAGGGAGAUAAAACUUGAUGUGAUCUUCUCCACUACUGCUUAGGGAGAUAAGAUCUGUGGUUUUGUCUGCUCCGCUACUACUUAGGGAGAUAAUACUUGAUGUGAUCUGCUCCACUACUGCUUAGGGAGAUAAGAUCUGUGGUUUUGUCUGCUCCGCUACUGCUUAGGGAGAUAAAACUUGCUGUGAUCUGCUCCACUACUGCUUAGGGAGAUAAGAUCUGUGGUUUUGUCUGCUUCGCUACUACUUAGAGAGAUAAGACUUGAUGUGAUCUGCUCCACUACUGCUUAGGGAGAUAAGAUCUAUGGUUUUGUCUGCUUCGCUACUGCUUAGGGAGAUAAGAUUUGCUGUGAUCUGCUCCACUACUGCUUAGGGAUAUAAGAUCUGUGGUUUUGUCUGCUCCGCUACUGCUUAGGGAGAUAAGACUUGAUGGGAUCUGCUCCACUACUGCUUAGGGAGAUAAGAUCUGUGGUUUUGUCUGCUCUGCUACUGCUUAGGGAGAUAAGACUUGACGCGAUAUGCUCCACUACUGCUUAGGGAGAUAAGAUCUGCUGGCUUCAAUGUACUCCACUGUAAUCUCAGGGAGGUAAAAUUCGCCAUCUUCAACCUGCUCCACUACUGUUUAGGGAGAAAAGGUUGGAAUCUUCGAUUUGCUUCGCUGUCACUGCAGGAAGGCAUAAUCUGCAAUCUUCAGUCUAUUCUCUGGGGAACAUGACCUGUAAAAUCUAUUUUAUGGACCUAUUUAUGCCUAGUAUUUAGGAUGACAUGAUCAGAAUAAAUCAAAUGCUCCUAACUAGAUGUGUAUGAACGAUAUUGAAUGAAUGUAAAAUGUCAUGAGAAUGAUCCCCUUUUUAAUGUUCGGGUUGUCCUUGCUCAAUGUUUAUCAAGGCUUUAUCGCUGAUGCGUCACUGUGCCUUCUUGUUCAACUAGUAACUUUAACAGCAAAUCCAAAGAAAUAGUUACAAUUCAGACCAUUCUUUCUCAAAUAUACCUAACCCUUAAGUUGGUUAGUUCUGAACAAUAGCCUUGUUUUGGGUCCUCGUAUUAUUUAGAAACUUCAGAGUAAUAUGCAGCACUUCUUCUGCUUGAAUAUUGUCAGCCCAAUAAUCGUUACUUCAAUGAAAAUUUUUGAAUAAGAUUACCAAAAUAGACAAGAUGGAAUUUUGUUAAGAGCAAAGCUCUAAACAAAUAAAUCAAUCAAGAUAACAAAUUUUGUUAAAAUGAAUAAGAUGAAAAAGAUUAUCACAAUGGAUAAAAUGGAAAUUAAUUGAGAGCAAAGCUCUAAAUGAACAAAUUAAUCAAAAUAGAGAUUUUGCUAAGAUACAAAAACGAAUGAGAUGAAAACAGGUGCCCCAGAUAUCGUAGCGUGAGCUUCUCUGUCCUAAACUUCUUGAAGACCCUUUUGAACUUGACAUGUGUUUAGAAGUCCUAAAAGACUUUGUUGAUGCCCCAAGCUGUAGUAUCUCUCCUCUUAUUAACUUGGAGAUGAUAAGAUUACCGUAUGCCUCAUCUUUGAUCAAAAAAAUUGAACUGCCCAUUUCUGGGUUUUCAAUUCAAUACCCCUUUGGUCUCAAUGCGCCUUUUGCGGGUUUUCGCCUUGGCCUCUCCUUUUUUUUUAGGCAAAGUACCUCUUCACUGAAUCUGAAUUCACAGGAUUGGCCAAGCUUUUACCAUCCAUCUCGGUUAAAAUUAAUGCUCCUCUAGAGAAAGCCUUCUUUACCACAUAAGGUCCCUCCCAGUUUGGCAUCCACUUUCCUCUGAAGUCUUUUUGUAUGGGAAGGAUCUUCUUCAGUACCAAAUCCCCUUUAUGGAAGUUCCUAGGAUGAACUUUCUUAUUGUAAGCUCGUAUCAUUCGUUUCUGGUACAUUAAACCAUGACGGAUAGCUCUUAACCUCUUUUCUUCAAUCAAGUUCAGCUGAUCGUAUCGAGAUUGGACCUAUUCUGCUUCGUCUAACUUUAGUUCUGAUAAAACUCGAAGAGAGGGAAUUUCAACCUCAAUUGGUAGCACCACCUCCAUUCCAUAAACCAAAGAAAAUGGUGUUGCCCCGAUGGAAGUCUUGACAGACGUUCGAUAAGCAUAGAGGGCGAAUGGUAACUUCUCGUGCCAAUCUUUAUAGGUCUCAGUCAUUUUCCCCACAAUCUUCUUAAUAUUCUUAUUGGCCGCCUCUACCGCGCCAUUCAUUUUUGGACGAUAUGGCGAUGAGUUGUGGUGUUUGAUCUUGAAUUGACUGCAAACCUCUGCUAUCGUGCUAUUGUUCAAGUUCAAUGCAUUGUCAGAUAUAAUCCUUUCGGGCAUUCCAUAUCGACAUAUAAUUUCUUUAUUUAAAAACUUGCUGACGGCUGCCUUUGUGACGUUGGCGUAAGAAGUAGCCUCUACCCACUUAGUAAAGUAGUCAAUCACUACAAAAAUGAAACUAUGUCCGUUUGAAGCCUUUGGCGAUAUCGGCCCAAUGACGUCCAUGCUCCACAUGGAGAAAGGCCAUGGGGAAGUUAUGACGUGAAGAGGUGAGGGAGGCACAUGAAUUUUGUCUCCGUAAAUCUGGUAUUUAUGACACUUCUUAGCAUAUUUGAUGCAGUCUCCCUCCAUAGUAGACCAAUAAUAUCCGAAUCUCAUGAUUUGUCUGGCCAUUGUGAAACCGUUAGCGUGUGUUCCAUAAAUACCAUCAUGGACUUCUUCCAAGAUCUGCUUGGCCUCCACAGCGUCCACACAUCUUAACAGCACCUGAUCCUUUCCUCUUUUGUACAGGAUCUCUCCAUCUAAGACGUAGUCAUUAGCCAGCCUCCUCAAUGUUCUCUUGUCAUUCUUAGUUUCUUGGUUUGGGUAUUCGUGAUUUUUCACGUAUCGCAAUAUGUCCUGAUACCAAGGGUUGUCGUAUUUUUCUUCUUCCUCGUCAAUGUUACAACAGUGGGCUGGAGCACCAUAAAUGCUCAUUUGGAUAGGCUUCACAUCCUCUGGUCUAUUUACUUUGAUCAUGGAAGCCAAUGUAGCCAAAGCGUCGACCAUCUGAUUCUCGUCUCGUGGAAGAUAACAAAAAGUGAUGUCGUCAAACUCCUCAAUCAAUUCUAGGACAAGCUUUCGAUAAUUAAUCAACUUGGGGUCUCUUGUUUCCCAUUCACCUUUGAGCUGAUAAAUUACCAAUGCCGAAUCCCCAUAUACCUUAAGUACCUUGAUUUUGCGUUCCAUAGCCGCACGGAUUCUCAUGAUACAUGCUUCAUAUUCCGCCAUGUUAUUUGUGCAAUCAAACUCUAGUUUACUAGUGAACGGAUAAUGAUCACCGUCUCGAGAUACCAAGACUACCCCAAUUCUGUUGCCCACAGCAUUUGAGGCUCCGUCAAAGUUUAAUUUCCAAGCAUUGCUUUCUUGUGUGUUUGCUUCAGUAGUUGCCACAUACAUUAGAUCCUCGUUUGGGAAAUCGAAGUUCAAAGGCUCAUAAUCAUCCAAGGCUCUACUAGCCAGAAAAUCUGCUAUCACGCUCCCUUUUACAACCUUUUGAUUCACAUAGGUUAUGUCAAAUUCAGAUAGUAGAAUUUGCCAUCGGGCCAUCCUUCCGUUUAGAGCAGUUGACUCUAUCAUGUAUUUCAGAGGGUCUAACUUUGAGAUUAACCAAGUCGUAUGGUACAACAUGUAUUGUCUCAAUCUUCGAGUAGUCCAAACCAAGGCGCAACAUAAUUUUUCAAUUGGUGAAUAUCUCAUUUCACAUUCAGUGAACUUCUUGCUAAGAUAGUAGAUUGCUCUUUUUUUUCGUCCUGACUCAUCAUGUUGGCCGAGCACACACCCCAUAGAAUUUUCGAAUACUGUCAAGUAUAGUAUCAGUGGCUUGUCCGGGCAUGGUGGCAUUAGUACUGGGGCGUUGGACAGGUAAUGUUUAACUUUUUCAAAAGUUUUCUGGCACUCCUCGUCCCAUACACCUGGAUUGUAUUUUCUAAGAAGACGGAAAAUGGGGUCACAUUUCUCAGUUAACUGCGAAAUGAAUCGAGCGAUGUAAUUUAGUCUUCCCAAAAAACCUCGAACUUCUUUCUGAGUACUUGGCGGAGGUAAUUAUUGUAUGGCUUUAACUUUGUCUGGGUCAAUUUCAAUUCCCCUUUCGCUGACUAAGAAUCCUAGCAACUUUCCUGAUCUAGCCCCGAAAGUACACUUGGCUGGGUUAAGUUUUAGCUGGAAUUUUCUUAACCUUAAGAACAAUUUUCUCAAAACUUGCACAUGCUCUUUUUCAGUUUUGGACUUCGCAAUCAUGUCGUCAACGUAGACUUCGAUCUCUUUGUGUAUCAUGUCAUGGAAUAAGGUUACCAUGGCUCUUUGAUAAGUUGCCCCAGCGUUUUUCAAUCCGAAUGGCAUCACCUUGUAACAAAACGUUCCCCACAUAGUUAUGAAUGUAGUCUUUUCCAUGUCUUCAGAAUGCAUCUUAAUUUGGUUGUACCAGGAGAAACCAUCCAUGAAAGAGAACAGUGAGUAUCCGGCCGUGUUGUCUACCAAGGUAUCGAUAUGAGGCAGUGGAAAAUUAUCCUUUGGGCUAGCUUUGUUCAAGUCUCUGUAGUCCACGCACAUUCGUACCUUCCCAUCUUUCUUAGGAACAUGGACUAUAUUGGCUACCCAUUCUGAGUACUUGACCACCUGUAAGAAACCAGCAUCAAAUUGCUUCUUAACUUCUUCCUUUAUUUUUAGCAAGACAUCAGGCCUCAUCUUUCGGAGCUUUUGUUGAACUGGCCUACAUUCUUCCUUUAUAGGCAGUCGGUGUACCACGAUAUCUGUACUUAACCUAGGCAUAUCUUGAUAGGACCAUGCAAAGACAUCUUUAAACUCUUGAAGCAACUCAACGAGGUCUCGCCUUGUUUCCUCGGUAAUGCUAGUGCCAAUCUUUACAUUCCUUCCCUCUUCUAAGCUCACGACUUCUACUGAUUCCUUAUAGGGUAGGAUUUGUUUUUCUUCUUCCUCCACCAUUCUUAACAAAUCCGGAGAUAAAACGAUGUCUUGGUCGUCUUCAAAAUCUUGAGGAUCAUCCACACUCAUUCUCGUUCAAAUAGGGACUCUGAGUUAGUAAUAGCGUCGCUCGUCUCGUUGAUAUCUGAAGACUUGUUAUUGGGAUAAAAGGAGACCCAAAUAAAAGAAUCUAAGAAUACUUGCAUGCGUAGUAUGAUUAUAAAUGGAAUGAAAAGAAUGAGAGAAUAUUUGCUCAAGGUGAGACUGAAUGAUAAGUUUUCAUUGAAAUUAGAUUUUGGUCAUGUGCCUUUUACAAAAGAUUCUUAUUACCCCCAGGCUUAGGGAAACAAGUGUUCUGAAUAUUACUCUAAAUUAGUUCUAAAUGUUACAGGGAUCUCUUCUGCAGUCCAGUUGUUCAGAACACUUCCAGGUUCAUAAGGGCGAAUGCCCGAUAAAUUCCUUUCCACCAUUUCCUCCGCGGAUAUGGCAUUGAUGUCCAACCUUCCAGUCCUUCCUUCCGUAACUUCAUUCUUUUUUUCGGGGUAGACAAUUCCCCUUGAAACAAAUGUCUUAGAUAUAUGGGGAAAGGUCAUCGGUCCCCAUUCAAUUUCUAUCCCGCUCAAACGUGCUCUUCUUUUCUCCCGUUUUUUCUCUAACUCAUUCUUCCUUUCCCUCGCGUCAGGCUUAUACCCCAAACCACAACGGUCGUGUUUGUUAACCAAGAUCGGUACUUCGACCCAUCCCUGGAGGUAUUUUCCAAGUCCUCUUCCAGGCAACGCUCCAUUUCCCAUUGUUAGCUGUAGACUCAUUGACGUAGCUUUGGAUAUCUUAGGCUCUGGAAUUUUGCUCCACUCGAUGAAAAAUGUUGCAUUUAUGAAUUCUAAUGAUCGGAAUGAACAUUCUAUCGUUUCACUAUCGACCUCUAUAUAUGGCAUGUCAUCAGUGACUGAUGCAAUGAUGUCCUCUUCUGCGCCUAUAGUUACCAAUCGGCCCUCUGUUACUAAUUUUAACUUUUGGUGAAGUGACGAUGGUACAGCCCCUGCAGAAUGGAUCCAAGGCCUUCCCAAUAGGCAAUUGUAAGAUGGUUUAAUAUCCAUUACCAAAAAGUCCACCUCGUAUGUAUUUGGACCAAUCAAUAGAGGUAUCUCGAUUCUUUCCAUCACUUUUCUCUCAGUGCCAUCGAAUGCUCUCACUAUAUUUUGGCAUGAUUUCAUGUGAGAACUGUCCACAGGUAGCCUGUUUAAUGUGGACAGGGGUAAAACAUUCAGUGCCGAUCCAUUGUCAAUGAGUACCCCUGGUAGUGUACACCCCUUGCAACGGGCAGUGAUGUGCAAGGCCUUGGUAGAUCCCAUACCACCUGGUGAGAUCUCAUCAUCGUUGAAGAAGAUGAAGUUGUCGGCAUUUAUAUUGUUAACCAGGCGAUCCAACUUGUUCACUGAGAUAUCGCUAGCAACAUAAGUCUCAUUUAGCACUUUUAUCAACGCAUUACGAUGUGUCUCUGAACUUAGAAGUAGCUCGAGUACUGAGAUGCGAGCUGGUUGCUUAUGCAGUUGUUCUACCACGUUGUACUCGCUAUGUUUCAAGAAUUUUAAGAAUUCUCUAGCCUCAUUUUUAGUCACCAGUUUGUUGACAAGCGAUUCAAUUCUGGCCGUCUUUGUUUUAUCUUGCUCAACCGCCAAGGCUUUUCCUUUUAUAGGCUCUCCUUUUGUAUUUGCCGGGUCAUAGCGUUUUUCGCUGCGUGUAUAGAAACCUACAUCAUUACCCUCCUCUGAAACAUUUAUCGGGUUCUCCGAGAUUGUCACAUUGUAGUCAUAACUCCAAGGAACCUUUUUACUAUCCUUGUAAGGAAAGGGUACGGGUUUUUGGAUUAUGACCCCUGGCACCAGUUGUAUUCCAGAUCCUGUGUUUCUUGGCCUUGAAAUAAUCACCACCGGGUGAUUUUAGGCUUUUCCCGUAGGUCCUUCCUCCGAGGCAAAAACUUCUCCUUCUUCUAGUCCUUUGAUCUCUUCAUAAAAUUCUAGCUCUUUGUUGUUCAUCAGAUUUUGUACCAUGGCCCUGAAUUCAGUGCAGUUUUGAAUGUCAUGGUCCUCUUUAGCAUGGACCUCGCAAUAUUUCUUUAUUCCUUCGGGCCUUUCCUUUGAUUCUUGCUUGAUUAGACCUCUCUUUAUCAUUUGUCUCAAAACCCAUUUCAGUGGGGUAUUCACAUCCGCAAUGUCAUCUUUGAUUCUCCUUCCCCCAUUCUCAAUUAUUGCAUUUAUUCCCUUAUCAGAAAGAUUGGGUAACGGAUUCCCUGCCACGUUUGGUCCCGAUAGGUUGUCAAACUUUACAAUCCCCAUCUUAAUGAAUCUUUCCACCGCCUUCUUAAACGCAGUGCAGUUCUCAAUCGAGUGCCCUGGUAUCUCCGCAUGGUAUUCACAUUGGGCAUUCAUGUCAUACCAUUUAGGGUAUGGAGGUUGCAUGGGCUCUAGAUAAUGUGGAGAUACUAUGUGCGCAUCGAAUAGCUUCUAAUACAGUUCCUUGUACGUUAUUGGAAUGGGCGUGAAUUGAAGUCUCUCCGUGUUGGGCCUUGUGUUGGGCUCUUUCCUUGAGGGGCCUUGAUGACUAGUGGCAGCCGUUCUUGGAGGGCCAACAGUAAUCGGUUUUGAAUAACUCUUGCUAUAUGUGCUUACGUUGUUUAUCUCGCUUUCUUUUUUUCUUAGGGCUGGUCUUUUGGAGCUUUCCCCCGCGUCUAUUUUGCCACUUCUUAUUGUGUUUUCGAUCAUUUCACCGGACAUCACCAUAUCCGAGAAGCUCUUAGUAGCACUCCCCAACAUGUGGUUGAUGAAUGGAGCUUUCAAAGUGUUGAUAAACAGCAUAGUGACCUCUUUUUCCAAAAGGGGUGGCUGGACUUGCGUUGCCACCUCUCUCCACCUCUGGGCAUAUUGUCUGAAGCUCUCACUUUGUUUCUUUUCCAUGUUAUGUAACGUAAUUCGAUCAGGUGUUAUGUCUGUCACAUGGCUAUAUUGCUUUAUAAAAGCUUGCGCCAAAUCUCUCCAUGAACUAACUUUAGCACGACUCAGCUGGUUGUACCAUUUAGCUGCAGACCCGAUCAAAGUAUCCUGAAAGCAGUGGAUUAACAGUUGAUCAUUGUUGACGUAUCCUGUCAUUCUUCGACAGAACAUGGUUAUAUGAGCUUCAGGACAACUAGUCCCGUUGUAUCUUUCGAACUCCGGCAUCUUGAACUUAGGCGGGAGCACUAAAUCAGGAACCAAACUCAAAUCUUUAGCGUCGACUCCACAUUGGUAGUUGAUGUUCUCCAUGGCCCUAAAUUUUUCCUCUAGCCAUCUACACCGUUCUUCUAGUUGUUUUGGCAAGUCCAUUUUCGCUUUCUCCAUCUCUGCUAUGUUAUCGAGAUCAGGGACCACAGGGUUGGUAGGGUUGUCCUCGGGAUUAGAACCCGAGCCUACUUGAAAAUGCAUUGGUACCGAGGUGCCGGCCCGAUAUUGAGGUCCAGGUGCUCCUUGUGGGCAUAUGUCUAGUUGUGCCUGGGUACUUGUCAAGGUAAAACCUGGAGGAUAAACAGGAUCCUCCUGAUCAACUCUCGAAUUAAUUACAGGGCUCUUUCCUUUAUCAGCCAAUAAUUGUGCCAGUUGGCUCAUAAUUCUUUGGGAUUCCAGCUCGUCCUGUUGGAUUUUAUCCAAUUGUUCCUGCAUCUUAUCCUGCAUUUCUUUUUGCAUUUGUUCUAGCCUUUCUAACCUUUGAUCCAUUGCCUUUGUUUGACGUCGAGUACCGUAGUGAUAUUUGGUUGGUGGAUUUUUGUUGGUUUCCAGGGUAACUGUGACAAUUUUGAUUAAUUAGGGCCUUCUUAAUGAAACUGAAUGCAUGUAAUGAAAUGUAAUGUAAAUGCAUGAAUGCAAAAUGGAGGCAUUGAUUCUAAUUCAAUUUCAUUAGAAGAACUCGAUUUAGAAAACAAAUUUAUUUACAUAAAAUGGACUACAUAUACGGCUUUGCCCUUAUACUCAAAGCCUUAACACUCCUAAGGAGCCGAGCCAACUCUCGACCUCGGCCCGAUUCUGAUUCAUAACUUAAACUCAACACAUCAGCUUGAACUGCUAAGGUUUGCAGAUGAUCGGCUACUUCCCGUACUUGGGUAACAGCUUCAACCAUAAUGUAAUCUCUAUCUCUAAUCUAAUUUUGGGCAUGAUGGAACUGCUCUUGGUAAUGUUCGUUACGCCUUUCAAGAAGCUCCAAUCGCAGUUCAGAAUUGUACAACACAUCCUCAAGCUCCCCUAUCUUUCCCUUCAGUUCUUCGAUCUUAUUUAAGCUCGCUCUUAACUCUAUCGUAGAGUUACGACUACGGUGCAAAUGAAGUGACUUUUCCAACUCUGCUACCCGCACUUUUAAUCUUGCUUCUUCAUUCUGGCAUUCUGACAAGUUUUUCUCCAAAGUGCUCUCUCGAACCAGGGCAUCUUGAAAUUUCUUCUCCCAUUUAUCAGCUUUGGUCUUUUCUUUUUUGAUCUCCUGUCGCCACUGCUCUGACGUUUUACCCAAACCGACAGUUCUCAUCGACAAUCGCAGCUUCUUAUAAUCCGUUUUUAAACUAUCUAAAUCCUCUUCAGCCUUGUUCUUCCCCUUCCUUAACUUUUCGGCUUCCAACUUGUGAAUAUCGACAUCUAAUCCCAAACGCAUCUUUUCCUCUUCUAGUUGCUCAAUUUUCUUUCCCAGCUCCGAACUUCUCCUUUCAAAGUCUUGCUUAAUGAUUUCUAGUUCUGACGGAACCACUUGUAGAUGCUCUUCUAUCGGUCUAACAUCCACUUGGCUUGACACGGGGAUAUUAUCGUUGAUUCUUUUUUCCAACCACAUACUAUACUCGGGAGUUGUCAUUGGGUUUACAGCAAGUAUCUUCAUUCUGUGGAUUUGGUUCCAAGCAUUUGAUAUUUCACGAACCCUCUUCUUGUAAUUAUCUUCUUUGAAUGAAAAUUCACACUGAGCCAACCCUUGUGUUGCCGGUAUGAAUUGUCUAAAUCUGUACUGCCUCGAGACUAACAAAGGGGCGUAUCAAAUGGCUCCCCAAAUUUCAAGCAAAGGAACCCAAUUGAACUCUCCACAUCGAUACAAAAUCUCAUUAGGGAUCAUCCACAGGGCUCUUCACUCGACAUCCUCCUCUUGAAGAUUUUGGAGAAUCAUGAUCCAUUUCUCUUCCGUGAUAUCGUAUUGUCUUGGCGUAGCCACUAAUUCCUUUAAUGGAGAAUAGUUUUCAGAGAAUACCCAAUAGGAGAUCUUCUCUACUUUCCAAAAGUGACUAUGGAACCACACUAAUAACAAUUACGCGCAUCCGAUGAACCUUCCUUCACCUGCUCUUCGACAUGCACUUAGAGAUCUGAAGGUUUCAGCCAAAAUUGCUAGGACUGGUGUGACCCUCUUGUCAAGCCUGUCAAACAAAUCUGAAACUACUUCGUCCACAUGCCCUAAUGCCUUGGGGAAAAUGACCAAACCAUAAAUGCUGAAAGCGAAAAUAUCGACCCUUUUUCUCACAUCCGGAUGUGCCAAGAUCAGAUCUCGCAGAUUUUUCCAAGGCAUGCACUUGUUGUCUCUCUUUUGCUUAAUCCGGGCUGCAACCCAUUGCUCGCUCAUUCCUGUAACACUCAUUAAUUUCUUCAAGAAUGUCGGGACAUGCUGCUCUCGAAUAGGCCCUAUCAACUUGGAUCCUCGGACAUCGAAGCAAAGUCGUAUAUUCUUCUAUUGUAGGUACCAAAUCUACUUUUCCAAACGUGAAACAACUGUAGGCAGGAUUCCAAUACUGCACGAGGGCUCGGAGCAAGUGUUUGUCUACCUUUACGUCGAGUAGAUAAGGCAAAUCACCAUAGUUACUGUAGAAGAGCUGUCUGAUCUCAUCACUCCACUGAUCCCAAAUCUCCUUCAAUUCUUGUAGGUUGUUUUGAGUUACGCUGAUUCGAGUGAAGUCCCAUAACUUUGACACGUAUCCUUCCAUGAGGCUAUCACCCUUUUCUUGCUGAACCUUUUCGGACCAAACUCGGACGGCCGCAUUAUCUUCCACUUUACCAAGAAACUCCCUUUCCAUGUUAAGCUCUCUAUUUAAAUACUGAACGCGAAUCAACACCUUCUUUAUGAUGAGAAUGCCAUGCAAUCACAAUUAAGGUAAAAGCAAAGCGAGUCAGUAUAACAAUAAACUAAAAUUCAAAGUAUACAAGGAAUAAUAAUUAAAGCUACUAUUCAGGAAACCACUAGGGGUUGAGGUGAUUCUACCUAGGUAGGCUCUUAGGGCUCACUACAUGCGGUUCAGCUCUAAAACAAAGGUACCCGAACCAGCAGAUUCCUCGAUCCUCACCCAUUAUAGACUCAUGCGGACUGAGUUCGGUUCAGGGGAAUACAUUUCCCUAUGACUGCACGGAGAUGAAAAUUUCAUGAAGACAUAGGUACGGAUGUAUCCCGAAAGUGAUCUACUAUCCUGCACGGAGGUGAAAACUCACGAAGGAGUGGCUUCUCACUUCCACUUAAAAGGGUGAGACCCGUGGUCAUGUAAUGCAAUGAGCAGAGAUAUAAGAAUAAAAUACAAAACAUGAUAAAAUAACUCAAAACAAAGGAAAUCCAAUGAGAGGAUCGUAAAUUUAAAUCGAAUUUUCAAAUUUCGACAAAAAGACAAGAAAUAAUCAACACAUGGCUUAACUCUCUUAUUUUGUUCCCCAGUGGAGUCACCAAGCUGUUGACACUAUUUUUUUGACAAAACGGGGCCGACUUGGAUUUUGAAAAAGAAAACGGGAGUCGCCACCAAUCUUUUUUUUGAUGAGGUGUGAUCGGGUCACCUCGAAAAGUGGUUGUUUUUAAUAAACGAUUUAAUUUUUAUUAAAACAACGAUUUUGGUCUACGAAAUUCAGAAAAACGGGUUCGGGAGUCGGUUACGCACGAGGAAGGAUUAGCACCCUCGAUACGCCCAAAAUUGGUACCUAGUUGAUUACUUAAUGUCUUGGUGUCGAAAAUUAAAAAACUCGAAAAGAAUUUAAAAAUACAAUCCCUCUUUAUUUUGUGCUAUUUUAAAAAAAAUACUCGAAUAAAUCAAAAUGGAAAAAUGCCUCCUUAUCUCGAAGUAAUAAGAUGUCACACCCAGUAAGUUAGGAUCCGACAUCUCAUAUUUUCGAGAGUAAGCUUGCAUAUAGAUUUUUUUGUUUAAAAUUUAUUUUAAUUUUAAAAGGAUAUUCGAUUAUUUAGGAUCAACGCGAGAAAAAUCGAAGCCCAGUAAGUUAGGGCACGAUUUCUCGAAUUUUCUAAAUCAGAAUAUUGCCUUUAUUUUCAAAAUUUUAUGUGUUUAGAAAUUUAAAAGGAUAUUUUGCUAUUUGGGUUCAAUGAGAAAAUCGAAACCUAGUAAGUUAGGGUACAAUUUCCCGAAUCCUAAAACGCGAAAUAUUGCCUUAUUUUAGAAAUUUUACCCUUUUAAUAUUUAAAAACCAAAUGCGUGCAAUUUUGAUUAUAUUUCUGCAGAGAAUUUAUUUAAGAUGGAAAGGAUGCCGUACAAAGUCUAUGAUGAAUAUACAAACAUACAUUUAAAAUCCAUAAUAUAAUAAUGCAUUGUAAAAUAUACACAUAGCAUAGAUAUUAAUAAAUCCUAAUGACGAAAUGCGUGAAUAAUAAUGUAAGAAAUAAUAUAACAAUAACAUCAAUAUGAUAACAAAACAAAUAUAAUUCUACUAAAUCUAGAUUUGAAAACAUUUGAAGACAACAAAUAAAUAAUUAAUGAAAUGAAAUUGCAAUAACAAUAGCAAAAAUAAAUAAAUGAAAUAAACAAGACAAAAGAUUUACAAAGAGGUGGCGGCAUGCGAGGAGGUGGAACGACGUGCAUUGUUGGAGCCUGGCAUGCGGCGCUGGGGCUUAAGGUUUGCUCCCUUUUGCCGAAACUGUUAAAGUCAUUUGGGCCAUGUUUUUUAUUUUGGGCCCGUUGGGUGUAUUUAAUUUUGGCUUUGGGCCACUACUGUAAUAGACUGUCUUAUUUUGGAUUUUGGGUUUCUAUUUUGGGCCCGGGCAAAAAUGGGCUCUUACAAAUAUGUCUCCUCAAAGGUCUUAAGAAUGCCAUUUUUGCCAAGCCAUCCGCAACCGUAUUCUCCUCUCUGAACAUAUGCCUAACGUGAACCAUCCAGGAAUGUUUGCAAAGGUCCUUAAUGGCACGCCCCACAACUGAAUAAGUUUGUUAAUCUUCAUUUGCUUGGAUCACUUCCAUAGUUUUAAUCCUAUCCAUCUCAAGUAUCACCUUCUCUAAACCAAGAUUCCAUGCUAGUUGGAGCCCCUUAAGAACACCCCAAAAUUUAGCCGGAACCAUAGAACAACAAUCAAUAUUUUUAGAAAAACCAACUACCCAAACCCUCUAAUGAUCUCAUAUUAAACCACCUGCUGCAGUAAUCUUGGACAAUUGGCAAAUUGCACCAUCAAUAUUCCAAAGUGAAUUAUUAUUUAUGUACAGGUAAUGCCCAAAAAUUUAAGCUUGGAAAGAGAAAAUCCAAAGAAGGAAAUGAGAAAAAAAGGAGGCAUUAAAUUGUUAUUGCCUAAUGGAACUCAUUUUCUCAAAUAAAAGGAAAAAGAAAGUUUUUUUUUUGUUUUUGUUUUUGUUUGGCGAGGAAAAAAAGUGAAA